Nicotiana tabacum (common tobacco) is the source of this 804-nucleotide long non-coding RNA. RefSeq lists it as uncharacterized. NCBI's taxonomy places the organism in Eukaryota, Viridiplantae, Streptophyta, Magnoliopsida, Solanales, Solanaceae. The record is from RefSeq and is a predicted model, not a curated record.
GAAUUAUUUAAAAGAUGCUGAAAAAUGGACAACUGUCCAUUAUUCUCUGUCAAAAAUGAUGUACUAUCUAAGGAAUUUAGGGUAGAAUACUCCUUAGAUGUUAUUUUUGGAUAUACACUAUAAAAAGAAAGUCAUUCCCUCAUUUUCUCACAGACUCAUCAGAUUUCAAAAAUACACUCUAAAAAUUCAGCUGUUGUUUCUAUAGAAGCGGACUCUCUUUUCCUCUAAUUUUAGCAAAAAACUUAAAGAACUUCUUUGGGAUUUUCUGGUUUUCAUAAGUCAAAAAAUGGAUUGAAUCCGAAGCUUUCUUUUCUGGGAUUUACUGCUGCUGCUCAUGCUGUGUUGUUUAAGUUUGGGUUGAGCUCCAAAUUUCAUUAUUUUGAUCUGUACUUGGUCUUCUUUCUACUGUUCUUCUUGUUUCUGGCCAUUAGAAUCAAUAUUAAUUCAAAAAGGGUUUCCUUAUAAAGUGGUUUUGCUGAAGUAUAUGGAUUUUUGUUGAGUUUGAGAAGGCUUAAUGCUGGUUACAUGGCUAUGUCUUGCUGAUCUGACCACCAGUCGGAUCAGAUUGGUGAAGCUAAGUCUAAAAGGUGGAUUUGGAGUCAUCCAUGGAAGGGGUGUAACACAAGAUUGGUUAUGUUUUUUUUAGUUUAAUUAGCCUUAUGAACAAUCUAUGUAAAUAUUUAAGGAUUCAUGUCUAUUAUCCUUCUUGAUGAUUGUAUUGUGAUUCACCAGAUUUGCAAGUAUUAGAAAUGUAAUUAAUUUGUCUUAUCUUAGAUCAGAUAAAUAGUUCAGCUAUUCAUCUUC